GGGGAAUAUUGGACAAUGGGCGAAAGCCUGAUCCAGCCAUGCCGCGUGUGUGAAGAAGGUCUUCGGAUUGUAAAGCACUUUAAGUUGGGAGGAAGGGCAGUAAAUUAAUACUUUGCUGUUUUGACGUUACCGACAGAAUAAGCACCGGCUAACUCUGUGCCAGCAGCCGCGGUAAUACAGAGGGUGCAAGCGUUAAUCGGAAUUACUGGGCGUAAAGCGCGCGUAGGUGGUUCGUUAAGUUGGAUGUGAAAUCCCCGGGCUCAACCUGGGAACUGCAUUCAAAACUGACGAGCUAGAGUAUGGUAGAGGGUGGUGGAAUUUCCUGUGUAGCGGUGAAAUGCGUAGAUAUAGGAAGGAACACCAGUGGCGAAGGCGACCACCUGGACUGAUACUGACACUGAGGUGCGAAAGCGUGGGGAGCAAACA
RNAcentral lists this ribosomal RNA (426 nucleotides) under uncultured Pseudomonas sp. Its description in RNAcentral is "bacterial SSU rRNA". It matches the Rfam family "Bacterial small subunit ribosomal RNA", at positions 356 to 774 of the family's 1533-position model. Lineage: Bacteria; Pseudomonadati; Pseudomonadota; Gammaproteobacteria; Pseudomonadales; Pseudomonadaceae. The record is from RNAcentral.